Molecule: ribosomal RNA, 249 nt
Filed under: uncultured bacterium
Lineage: Bacteria
Description: partial 16S ribosomal RNA
Rfam family: Bacterial small subunit ribosomal RNA
Source: RNAcentral
UGGGGAAUAUUGGACAAUGGGCGAAAGCCUGAUCCAGCGACGCCGCGUGGGUGAAGAAGGCCUGCGGGUUGUAAAGCCCUUUCGUCGGGGAAGCGUUACCCGAAGAAGAAGCACCGGCUAACUCUGUGCCAGCAGCCGCGGUAAUACAGAGGGUGCGAGCGUUAUCCGGAAUCACUGGGCGUAAAGGGCGCGUAGGCGGACAUUUAAGUCGGGGGUGAAAUCCCGGGGCUCAACCCUGGAACUGCCUUC